CAGUCGCCACGGGAAUACGGAGGGGGCUAGCGUUGUUCGGAAUUACUGGGCGUAAAGCGCACGUAGGCGGCUUUGUAAGUUAGAGGUGAAAGCCCGGAGCUCAACUCCGGAAUUGCCUUUAAGACUGCAGAGCUAGCAGGUGAGAGAGGUGAGUGGAAUUCCGAGUGUAGAGGUGAAAUUCGUAGAUAUUCGGAAGAACACCAGUGGCGAAGGCGGCUCACUGGCUCAUACUGGACGCUGAGGUGCGAAAGCGUGGGGAGCAAACAGGAUUAGAUACCCGGGUAGUCCCUGUCUCUUAUAU
Molecule: ribosomal RNA, 301 nt
Filed under: uncultured bacterium
Lineage: Bacteria
Description: partial 16S ribosomal RNA
Rfam family: Bacterial small subunit ribosomal RNA
Source: RNAcentral